CCCGACGGUGAGGGACGAAAGCUUGGGUCUCGAACCGGAUUAUAUACCCGGGUAGUCCAAGCUGUAAACGAUGCUCGCUAGGUGUGGCGUUGGCUACGAGCCAGCGCUGUGCCGUANGGAAGCCGAGAAGCGAGCCGCCUGGGAAGUACGUCCGCAAGGAUGAAACUUAAAGGAAUUGGCGGGGGAGCACUACAACCGGAGGAGCCUGCGGUUUAAUUGGACUCAACGCCGGACAUCUCACCGGCACCGACAGUGUGCAGUGACAGUCAGUCUGAUGGGCUUACUUGAGCC
This 291-nucleotide ribosomal RNA is filed under the name uncultured archaeon. Its description in RNAcentral is "partial 16S ribosomal RNA". It matches the Rfam family "Archaeal small subunit ribosomal RNA", at positions 690 to 978 of the family's 1478-position model. The record is from RNAcentral.